This is a non-coding RNA of Pseudoalteromonas porphyrae, 110 nucleotides long. NCBI's taxonomy places the organism in Bacteria, Pseudomonadati, Pseudomonadota, Gammaproteobacteria, Alteromonadales, Pseudoalteromonadaceae. The record is from Rfam.
CUAUAAGCUCUCUGAAGGGCCGUUGGAGACUACAACGUUGAUAGGCAAGGUGUGGAAGCAUAGUGAUAUGUUAAGCUAACUUGUACUAAUUACCCGUGAGGCUUAACCAU